UUAUGUGGCCAAACCUCUUUGUCCAAGCCUGAUCUCAUCAGCUCUUAGAAGCUACGCAGGGCUGGGCCUAGUUAGUAAUUGGAUGAGAGACCGCUGGGAAUAUCAGGUGCCACAGUGG
This 118-nucleotide ribosomal RNA is filed under the name Periophthalmus magnuspinnatus. Lineage: Eukaryota; Metazoa; Chordata; Actinopteri; Gobiiformes; Gobiidae. The record is from RNAcentral.